RNAcentral lists this long non-coding RNA (764 nucleotides) under Triticum aestivum (bread wheat). RNAcentral describes it as "long non-coding RNA (TAES_LNC008171)". The record is from RNAcentral. Lineage: Eukaryota; Viridiplantae; Streptophyta; Magnoliopsida; Poales; Poaceae.
AGUUUUUGACUGAACAGAAGAUUACUUAUAUUGAAAUUACACAGACUAAGAACUAAGAUUACUUUGUUGCAACUCUUGAGCUCUCUGUCACAUUAUGCUAGGUGUAAUGUGACAUCACAAUACCAGGGAAGAAUACAGUGAGGAUACCACUCAAAUCUAGCAGCUACAAAGAUCAGAUAAAUAGGGUGAGUUCUUAGAUUCAAACUAUCACUGGUAGUGUAAGUUUCUACUACAUAGACAUCUACUGAACCAAUGGUGAAUAAUAGGUUAUUGUAGGGAAAAUCAUUUGGAUAACAGUAUCUUGUUCAGAUGGCAAAUGUGAAAAUAUUAUGUUCUUGGCCUCUUCUCGAAUAGCGGGUUCACCACCUUGCCCUGCAACCACAUAGCAAAGCAACCCAGUCAGAUCACACGCGCCAGGACUGGGAGAUUCCAAGCAGGUGUUAUUUCUUCCAUUUAUUAAUUACACAUGCAACACUUAUAAUACCAAUAUAGUCAAUUCCCACGAGCUAAUUGAUUAAUAUAACAUUGUCAUAGAUCUAGCAUGAAAGAGUCAAAACUUGUCUCACAUAUCACGAGUACACUUAUAGCAAGCGUAAAUGCAAAAGGCAAUCUUCCGAUGUGGCAUAACUUGUACAAGUAGAAAGCAGGUUCAAUAGAGCUCAUGCAGUCCUAUGUGACGACCAUCCAGAAUGGAUGUGUAGAGCAAUUUUGGUGUAUAACAAACAAAGCGCAAGCUCAAUAGGCGCUGAUCCCCGACGGCGAGG